Long non-coding RNA from Aptenodytes forsteri (emperor penguin), 189 nucleotides. RefSeq lists it as uncharacterized. The record is from RefSeq and is a predicted model, not a curated record. The transcript is spliced from 2 exons. Lineage: Eukaryota; Metazoa; Chordata; Aves; Sphenisciformes; Spheniscidae.
GCUGAAAUCCAAAGGCACCUAUGCCCAGGACUCCCCAGAUUGUCCUGCCCAGCACAGCAUCAGCUCCUGCCUACGAGAAAGAAAAUACUGAAAUAAUCUCCAAACGCGUGUAAGUGCCUGUAAGUUGGCCGUCCUGGACUUAAACCUGAAGCCUGGCCUGAUACACUCCAACCCAGCUGUCAGUGACAG